RNAcentral lists this long non-coding RNA (318 nucleotides) under Setaria italica (foxtail millet). RNAcentral describes it as "long non-coding RNA (SITA_LNC005249)". Lineage: Eukaryota; Viridiplantae; Streptophyta; Magnoliopsida; Poales; Poaceae. The record is from RNAcentral.
AAGCUGCAGCCGCGGCGUCCGGCUGGGUCUACAGUUUUUUUAGUGCAGAGCACGGUGCAGGUACAACAAGAACUCCGCCUUCGGCGUCUUCCCAGUUCCUACAAGUAAGUAAAUACGUACAAUCCGGUAAUCCUACGGUCAUACUGCUACUAGUAUCUUUCUGGUCCAGUAAUCAAGCUGUACAGGAGAGGGUGUCUGCAUGCUAGCUAACUAAUAGAGAAACAUCAGCGCCUGCAGUCCAACCGCAUUUGGCUUCUUUUCCUUGCGGUGAAGUGAAGCACAGGCAGCCAGUGUCCAAAUGAGGGUUUGGUCAAGGUU